GAAAAGCUUUCUGGUUGGUCUAGAGAGGAGAUUGUUGGAAAAAUGUUAGUUGGUGAAAUUUUUGGAAGUUGUUGUCGGCUCAAGGGCCCAGAUGCCAUGACAAAGUUCAUGAUCGUGUUGCAUAAUGCAAUCGGAGGCCAGGACACAGACAAGUUUCCAUUUUCCUUUUUUGACCGAAAUGGGAAAUAUGUGCAAGCUCUUUUGACAGCAAA
RNAcentral lists this unclassified non-coding RNA (212 nucleotides) under Hevea brasiliensis (rubber tree). Lineage: Eukaryota; Viridiplantae; Streptophyta; Magnoliopsida; Malpighiales; Euphorbiaceae. The record is from RNAcentral.